This is a long non-coding RNA of Bactrocera tryoni, 592 nucleotides long. RefSeq lists it as uncharacterized. NCBI's taxonomy places the organism in Eukaryota, Metazoa, Arthropoda, Insecta, Diptera, Tephritidae. The record is from RefSeq and is a predicted model, not a curated record. The transcript is spliced from 3 exons.
ACAGCCUGUAUUCUUCGAAUAUGACUGCAAAAUGAGGAAGGAAGUACUGUUUAGCAUUUUGUCAAGCGUUAAAAAAUGCGGUUACAAUAUUGUUGCCAUUGUAAGUGAUUUGGGUGGAUCAAAUAGAGGCUUAUAUAAUGAUCUUGAAAUUAAUGUGGAAAAACCUUGGUUUUUACACGAUGGAGACAGGGUUGUGGUUUUUGCAGCUGUCCCCUAUUUAAUAUGGCAAAAUUGUUAUAAAAGACAUUAUUCUGAAGCUUACCUCCAACGACCUGUCCAUCACGCACCAAAUUUCUCAGAAGCAUUUGUCUGUAACAGGAGCAGAAAGGCAAAAGGUUAAACUAGCCACAAAAUUGUUCUCCCACACAAUUGCUCAAGCAAUAACUCGAGCCGCUAGCUUAGAUCUGCUAGAUAACGAAAAUUGGGAGGAAUGCCAUCGACUUUUCAAAAUUGGUGCCCAAAGAUGGAGUGAAGGAACGCUUACACGCCUACGGUUUGGCUUUGAACGAGCAAAAUAAUGUACUGGAACAGAUGACGGAGAUGGUUUCAUCAAUGAGAGUCAUUGGUAAAAAUGGGUUGCUUCCAUUCCAAA